Perca flavescens (yellow perch) is the source of this 275-nucleotide long non-coding RNA. RefSeq lists it as uncharacterized. The transcript has 3 exons. The record is from RefSeq and is a predicted model, not a curated record. NCBI's taxonomy places the organism in Eukaryota, Metazoa, Chordata, Actinopteri, Perciformes, Percidae.
ACUGCGCAUGCGUUUAGUUUUGAAUUCCUGACCGGACCACGCCUGACCCUCCUUCGGUUAAUUUCGGUAAUUCUGUUUGGUAUCUGAUAUGGAAAAGAUCCUGGCUGGGAUAGCCUUUUGUCAACUCCCUCCAUAUUGAUGUGUUAUAGCUGGACUGCGGAGCUUUCAUGUGUUCCUUACACAACUUGACCAACGCACUGAGCAGCUCAUGAAAGUGUUGAAGAACAAAGGAGGCUCUGCAGGGAGGAAAAUCAGGAUCAUUAUGGCCCCAAUGA